Molecule: long non-coding RNA, 681 nt
Organism: Oncorhynchus mykiss (rainbow trout)
Lineage: Eukaryota; Metazoa; Chordata; Actinopteri; Salmoniformes; Salmonidae
Source: RefSeq, a predicted model, not a curated record
ACCGUAUAUACAGCAUGCCAGCAAACUCCUCACUCUCCCUCACUAUAUCACACAUACAACUGCUGUGCACGCAAGCGCACACACACGCGCUAUCAGUGCUGAGUCUAGGAGGCUGGAGGGCAGACGGAGAACAAGAAGAACGGAGUGGAGAAAGAGGAGGCAUAAAAGACAGAGUGAGAGAUAAGAGGUCAGUGUUUUCUCCCAACACCCAUCCAUGACUUAAUCUGAUUCCUCUCUGAGAGAGAAACAUGACUUCCCGGGGACUGGCUUACUGCAGGAGGACAGGAUGGAGGGACUGGCUUACUGCAGGAGGACAGGAUGGAGGGACUGGCUUACUGCAGGAGAACAUGAUGGAGGGACUGGCUUACUGCAGGAGGACAGGAUGGAGGGACUGGCUUACUGCAGGAGAACAUGAUGGAGGGACUGGCUUACUGCAGGAGGACAGGAUGGAGGGACUGGCUUACUGCAGGAGAACAUGAUGGAGGGACUGGCUUACUGCAGGAGGACAGGAUGGAGGGACUGGCUUACUGCAGGAUGACAGGAUGGAGGGACUAGCUUACUGCAGGAGGACAGGAUGGAGGGACUGGCUUACUGCAGGAGGACAGGAUGGAGGGACUGGCUUACUGCAAGAGGACAGGAUGGAGGGACUGGCUUACUGCAGGAGGACAGGAUGGAGGGACU